This 253-nucleotide ribosomal RNA is filed under the name uncultured bacterium. RNAcentral's name for it is "partial 16S ribosomal RNA". It matches the Rfam family "Bacterial small subunit ribosomal RNA", at positions 524 to 776 of the family's 1533-position model. The record is from RNAcentral.
UACGUAGGGGGCUAGCGUUGUCCGGAAUCAUUGGGCGUAAAGCGCGCGUAGGCGGCCCGGUAAGUCCGCUCUGAAAGUCCAGGGCUCAACCCUGGAAAGCGGGUGGAUACUGCCGGGCUAGAAUCCGGAAGAGGCGAGUGGAAUUCCUGGUGUAGCGGUGAAAUGCGCAGAUAUCCGGAGGAACACCAGUGGCGAAAGCGGCCACCUGGACUGUACCUGACGCUGACACGCGAAAGCUAGGGGAGCGAACGGG